AGAAUUCAAAAAUCUCAGUGCUACCAAUUACACCACAUCCUA
Molecule: transfer RNA, 42 nt
Filed under: Loxodonta cyclotis (African forest elephant)
Lineage: Eukaryota; Metazoa; Chordata; Mammalia; Proboscidea; Elephantidae
Description: partial tRNA-Gln
Source: RNAcentral